GACAGAACCCUCAGGGAGCUGUGAGGAAGGCUUCUACUGCAGAGAAAGAGCCAGAUCUGCAACUCCAGUCGACGGGCCGACGGGUGGCCUGUGUCCGGCUGGGAGUUUCUGCCCCGCGGGUUCUGCCUCCCCAAAGCCCUGCCCCCCCGGCACCUUCGGCAACAGCACCGGCCUUGGCAGCGUCCUGCAGUGCCUGGGCUGCCCACCAGGUUUCUAUUGCUCCGCCUCCAACAGCACCUCCCCGACUGGCCCCUGC
Long non-coding RNA from Megalops cyprinoides (Indo-Pacific tarpon), 256 nucleotides. RefSeq lists it as uncharacterized. The record is from RefSeq and is a predicted model, not a curated record. NCBI's taxonomy places the organism in Eukaryota, Metazoa, Chordata, Actinopteri, Elopiformes, Megalopidae. The transcript is spliced from 3 exons.